AUACGUUGGGCGCGAGCGUUGUCCGGAUUUACUGGGUGUAAAGGGUGCGUAGGCGGCUCUGCAAGUCAGUUGUGAAACCCCUCGGCUUAACUGAUGGACUGCAUUUGAAACUGUGGGGCUUGAGUGGAGUAGAGGCAGACGGAAUUCCCGGUGUAGCGGUGAAAUGCGUAGAGAUCGGGAAGAACACCAGUGGCGAAGGCGGUCUGCUGGGCUCUAACUGACGCUGAGGCACGAAAGCAUGGGUAGCAAACAGGAUUAGAUACCCUGGUAGUCCAUGCCGUAAACGAUGAUUACUAGGUGUGGGGAGUCUGACCCUCUCCGUGCCGGAGUUAACACAAUAAGUAAUCCACCUGGGAAGUACGACCGCAAGGUUAAA
This 376-nucleotide ribosomal RNA is filed under the name uncultured bacterium. Its description in RNAcentral is "bacterial SSU rRNA". It matches the Rfam family "Bacterial small subunit ribosomal RNA", at positions 523 to 898 of the family's 1533-position model. The record is from RNAcentral.